RNAcentral lists this ribosomal RNA (478 nucleotides) under Clostridiales bacterium 'ARUP UnID 495'. Its description in RNAcentral is "bacterial SSU rRNA". It matches the Rfam family "Bacterial small subunit ribosomal RNA", at positions 27 to 506 of the family's 1533-position model. The record is from RNAcentral. Lineage: Bacteria; Bacillati; Bacillota; Clostridia; Eubacteriales.
GGAUGAACGCUGGCGGCGUGCCUAACACAUGCAAGUCGAACGGGGUUCUAURUCGGAAGUUUUCGGAUGGAAGAGAUAGGACCCAGUGGCGGACGGGUGAGUAACACGUGGGUAACCUGCCUCAUAGAGGGGGAUAACAGAGAGAAAUCACUGCUAAUACCGCAUAAGCACACGGGAUCGCAUGAUCCUGGGUGAAAAGAUUUAUCGCUAUGAGAUGGACUCGCGUCUGAUUAGCUGGUUGGCGGGGUAAAGGCCCACCAAGGCGACGAUCAGUAGCCGAUCUGAGAGGAUGGCCGGCCACAUUGGGACUGAGACACGGCCCAGACUCCUACGGGAGGCAGCAGUGGGGGAUAUUGCACAAUGGAGGGAACUCUGAUGCAGCAACGCCGCGUGAGUGAAGAAGUAUUUCGGUAUGUAAAGCUCUAUCAGCAGGGAAGAUAAUGACAGUACCUGAAUAAGAAGCCCCGGCUAACUACGU